UUUGACAGUUCAAUGCAUUGUCCCAUCAGCUACAGUUUGACAGUUUCAAUGCACUGUCCCAUCAGCUACAGUUUGACAGUUCAAUGCAUUGUCCUGUUGGCUACAGUGUGACAGUUCAGUGCAUUGUCUGAUCAGCUGCAGUUUGACAGUUCAAUGCAUUGUCUGAUCAGCUACAGUUUCAAUGCAUUGUCUGAUCAGCUACAGUGUAACAUUUCAAUGCAUUGUCAUGUUGGCUACAGUGUGACAGUUCAAUGCAUUGUCUGAUCAGCUACAGUGUAACAGUUUCAAUGCAUUGUCCUGUUGGUUACAGUUUGACAGUUUCAAUGCAUUGUCCCAUCAGCUACAGUUUGACAGUUUCAAUGCAUUGUCCCAUCAGCUACAGUUUGACAGUUCAGUGCAUUGUCCUGUUGGCUACAGUGUGACAGUUCAAUGCAUUGUCUGAUCAGCUACAGUGUAACAGUUUCAAUGAAUUGUCCUGUUGGUUACAGUUUGACAGUUUCAAUGCAUUGUCCUGUUGGCUACAGUUUGACAUUUCAAUGCAUUGUCCGAUCAGCUACAGUUUGACAGUUUCAAUGCAUUGUCCCAUCAGCUACAGUUUGACAGUUUCAAUGCAUUGUCCCAUCAGCUACAGUUUGACAGUUUCAAUGCAUUGUCCCAUCAGCUACAGUUUGACAGUUUCAAUGCAUUGUCCCAUCAGCUACAGUUUGACAGUUUCAAUGCAUUGUCCCAUCAGCUACAGUUUGACAGUUCAAUGCAUUGUCCCAUCAGCUACAGUGUGACAGCUUAAUGCAUUGUCCCAUCAGCUACAGUUUGACAGUUUGCAUUGUCCCAUCAGCUACAGU
Molecule: long non-coding RNA, 842 nt
Filed under: Haliotis rubra (blacklip abalone)
Lineage: Eukaryota; Metazoa; Mollusca; Gastropoda; Lepetellida; Haliotidae
Description: uncharacterized LOC124278583, transcript variant X1
Source: RNAcentral